RNAcentral lists this ribosomal RNA (253 nucleotides) under uncultured bacterium. RNAcentral describes it as "partial 16S ribosomal RNA". It matches the Rfam family "Bacterial small subunit ribosomal RNA", at positions 524 to 776 of the family's 1533-position model. The record is from RNAcentral.
UACGUAGGAGGCGAGCGUUGUCCGGAUUUACUGGGCGUAAAGCGCGCGCAGGCGGCACACUAAGUACGAUGUGAAAUCUCCCUGCUCAACGGGGAGGGUGCAUAGUAAACUGGUGAGCUAGAGGACGGUAGAGGGGGGUGGAAUUGCUGGUGUAGCGGUGAAAUGCGUAGAGAUCAGCAGGAACACCCGUGGCGAAGGCAGGUCUCUGGGCCGAUACUGACGCUGAGGAGCGAAAGCGUGGGGAGCGAACAGG